Molecule: ribosomal RNA, 1018 nt
Filed under: Paulinella longichromatophora
Lineage: Eukaryota; Cercozoa; Imbricatea; Euglyphida; Paulinellidae
Description: bacterial LSU rRNA
Rfam family: Bacterial large subunit ribosomal RNA
Source: RNAcentral
AACACGCUUUGAUCCGGGAAUCUCCGAAUGGGGCAACCCUUAGAACGGCCAACUGAAUAAAUAGGUUGGUUCGAGCCAACCCAGCGAACUGAAACAUCUUAGUAGCUGGAGGAAAGGAAAGUAAAAACGACUCCCUAAGUAGCGGCGAGCGAACGGGGAAUAGCCCAAACCAACGGUUGCGACUGUUGGGGUUGUGGGACAGUAAAAUGGAUUUUGGAGACUAGUAGAAGCGUUUGAAUGGCGCGCCAUAGAGGGUGAAAGCCCCGUAUACGAAAGUUGAAUUAACCUAGCUGUAUCCCGAGUAGCACGGAGCACGUGGAAUUCCGUGUGAAUCUGCGAGGACCACCUCGUAAGGCUAAGUACUACUGUGUGACCGAUAGUGAAGCAGUACCGCGAGGGAAAGGUGAAAAGAACCCCGGGAGGGGAGUGAAAUAGAACAUGAAACCGUGAGCUUACAAGCAAUGGGAGCCCGACUUAUCGGGUGACUGUGUGCCUGUUGAAGAAUGAGCCGGCGACUUAUAGGCACUGGCAGGUUAAGGGGGAAAUCCCGGAGCCAUAGCGAAAGCGAGUCUGAAUAGGGCGAUAGUCAGUGUUUAUAGACCCGAACCCGGGUGAUCUAACCAUGGCCAGGAUGAAGCUUGGGUGAUACCAAGUGGAGGUCCGAACCGACUGAUGUUGAAAAAUCAGCGGAUGAGCUGUGGUUAGGGGUGAAAUGCCAAUCGAACCCGGAGCUAGCUGGUUCUCCCCGAAAUACGUUGAGGCGUAGCGUCUAGUGCUCCAGCAGGGGGGUAAAGCCACUGUUUCGGUACGGGCUGCGAGAGCGGUACCAAAUCGAGACAAACUCUGAAUACCCUGUGUGUAACUAGGCAGUCAGACUGUGGGGGGAUAAGCUCCAUGGUCAAGAGGGAAACAGCCCAGACCGCCAGCUAAGGUCCCUAAAUAAACACUAAGUGAUAAAGGAAGGUGGGAUUGCCCAGACAACCAGGAGGUUUGCCUAGAAGCAGCCAUCCUCAAAGGA